UACGAAGGGGGCUAGCGUUGUUCGGAUUUACUGGGCGUAAAGCGCACGUAGGCGGAUCGUUAAGUCGGGGGUGAAAUCCUGGAGCUCAACUCCAGAACUGCCUUCGAUACUGGCGAUCUUGAGUCCGGAAGAGGUGAGUGGAACUCCUAGUGUAGAGGUGGAAUUCGUAGAUAUUCGCAAGAACACCAGUGGCGAAGGCGGCUCACUGGCCCGGUACUGACGCUGAGGCACGAAAGCGUGGGGGAGCGAACAGG
This 254-nucleotide ribosomal RNA is filed under the name uncultured bacterium. RNAcentral's name for it is "partial 16S ribosomal RNA". It matches the Rfam family "Bacterial small subunit ribosomal RNA", at positions 524 to 776 of the family's 1533-position model. The record is from RNAcentral.